Molecule: long non-coding RNA, 360 nt
Organism: Papaver somniferum (opium poppy)
Lineage: Eukaryota; Viridiplantae; Streptophyta; Magnoliopsida; Ranunculales; Papaveraceae
Exons: 2
Source: RefSeq, a predicted model, not a curated record
UUUCUCUCGCAUCCUCGUCUUUUUUCUCUAAUGUAGGGUUUGAUUUGAAGUAACUACCAUCUUACCGUGAGACAGAUUCAGAUGUUAAUGGUGGGUGGGAGUUGAGAUACUGAAGAAUGGAUUUUUUGGUUUAGUUAUUCUUCUUCUCCAUCACCCGGUUAAUAUUAGGGAAAGAACGUGAGGCAGUGAAUGGAAGAAUGAAGUUGAAGUGCAGUGAGCUGUAGAUAAUAGUGUUGAUGUUGUGUUGUUAAGGCGAGAAAACAAUGAGAAGAUUGAUGUUUCUUCCAUUGCUUUGUAUAAUGGAAUGAAUGCUUGUUAACUGAUACCCUAAGCUAUGAAAUUGCAUAAUUUUUUUGUUCA